RNAcentral lists this ribosomal RNA (419 nucleotides) under Clostridioides difficile. RNAcentral describes it as "bacterial SSU rRNA". It matches the Rfam family "Bacterial small subunit ribosomal RNA", at positions 126 to 532 of the family's 1533-position model. The record is from RNAcentral. Lineage: Bacteria; Bacillati; Bacillota; Clostridia; Peptostreptococcales; Peptostreptococcaceae.
CUACCUAUAAGACUGGGAUAACUUCGGGAAACCGGAGCUAAUACCGGAUAAUAUAUUGAACCGCAUGGUUCAAUAGUGAAAGACGGUUUUGCUGUCACUUAUAGAUGGAUCCGCGCCGCAUUAGCUAGUUGGUAAGGUAACGGCUUACCAAGGCAACGAUGCGUAGCCGACCUGAGAGGGUGAUCGGCCACACUGGAACUGAGACACGGUCCAGACUCCUACGGGAGGCAGCAGUAGGGAAUCUUCCGCAAUGGGCGAAAGCCUGACGGAGCAACGCCGCGUGAGUGAUGAAGGUCUUCGGAUCGUAAAACUCUGUUAUUAGGGAAGAACAAAUGUGUAAGUAACUAUGCACGUCUUGACGGUACCUAAUCAGAAAGCCACGGCUAACUACGUGCCAGCAGCCGCGGUAAUACGUAGGU